GCAUGAACAAAUACUGUGUUCUUUUUUAUCAGUUGUUUACAUAGCCAGACAUCAUGCAAAAAAAUAAAAAAUAAAGCAUUCUUCCCUAUAGAGUGGUUACCAUGGCAUGCUAAGCUUUUCCAUAUCAUUAUUAAAGGGAAAUACAAAU
This is a small nucleolar RNA of Nyctereutes procyonoides (raccoon dog), 148 nucleotides long. RefSeq annotates it as small nucleolar RNA SNORA15. The transcript has a single exon. NCBI's taxonomy places the organism in Eukaryota, Metazoa, Chordata, Mammalia, Carnivora, Canidae. The record is from RefSeq and is a predicted model, not a curated record.